Long non-coding RNA from Aethalodelphis obliquidens (Pacific white-sided dolphin), 1740 nucleotides. RefSeq lists it as uncharacterized. The transcript is spliced from 7 exons. NCBI's taxonomy places the organism in Eukaryota, Metazoa, Chordata, Mammalia, Artiodactyla, Delphinidae. The record is from RefSeq and is a predicted model, not a curated record.
CUUGGAUAUAAAGACAAAGUGGAUGGAGUGUGUCCAUGCCUUGCAACAGGAUGCCUUACACAGAUGAGUAAAUCACAGUACACAAUAAAUUUUAUGGCUGAAGAAAUUAUUUCUGCGGAAAUCUCCCUCUAACAGGACCUAGCCUCUACAUAGGACAUGUCUGGGAAAGAGCAAGAGAACUGGCCAAAACUCAAGAUGAGUCAUAGACCUUCUGCUGCAACAUGGUAAAUGCCAUAUUUACUCACAUUUCAUUGGCCAAAGCAUGUCACAUGACCAAAACCAAAUCAAAUGAGGAAAGAGAGGGAGAGAGACCCAAAAGGGAGAAGAGUUGGCUCUCAGUAGCUUUCCAUUCGGCUGGAAAAGGAACAGCUCUGGUUGCUACAACUAUGGUUGCUCCUUCUUGCUAUUUAUGGAUGGGGUGGCUGUUACUGCAGUCCACUAGUGCCCCCUAUUGUCCCCUUCAGGAAACUCACAGGGCAGCAUGAACGGCUAAACCUGGGCAUUCCUAUCACUUGUGCUAACAUUAGCCUGAUGAGCAAGAGUGCUGGAACCUGGGACCCCGAGCCCGGAGACCCUUCUGCUUCCGCUGGAGGCUCAGAGAACUCUACAUCCUCCAACCACAUCACCUGCUGGAGGUAGUCCCAACUUUGUCUUUUUCAAAAUGACAAAAGGAUUUUGUGGACAGUGAAACUAUUCUGUAUGAUACUACAAUAGCAGCUACAUGCCAUGCUACAUUUGUCAAAACUCAUGGAAUGUGCACCACACCAAGAGUGAACCCUAAUGGAUACUACAGACUAUGGUGUAAUGAUGUAUCAAGUUUCCUCAUUUGAAGCACGUGACAAUUAACUGCCUGACCAAUCUCACAGAGGUUAAAUAAGAACACGAGAAGCUUGGAGAAGUAUAAACAUAACUUUGAAGUUAACUGAAGGUACAUUAUUACCUACCUGGCUUACAUUUACUUAUCUUUUUUUUUUACCUGAAAAGAUUGGCAGCAGGUAAAAUUUGGUUUGCUCUGAAUCAAGCUGGGUUGGCUUUUCUGACCUGUGGGGUCAGGGAAGACUUUAAUUUCAUAGUGGAAUCUGCAGCUUUUUGUCUGUGCAAGAUCCAUUUAUCAUCCCUUUCUUCUGAGAAACAACUUUCCCGCACCAUCAGCCCAGUAGUUUGGGCGGUGUGGACCCCUCAAUGCUCCAGAGGUGGACAUGUGAUGCUGGUCUGACCAAUCAGAGCAUCAUCACGCCUCCCUGGGCUACAGGAUGGGCAUGUGGCCCAAGGCAGCCAAUCAGAGACAGUGAGUUUCAAUUGGAGAGCUUUGGUUGGAACUUUUAGGAAGCCCUCUCAUUCCACUGGACAGUUUGUAGCCUGGGUCUUCUAGAAGCCAUCUCACUCCCACCAGGGGAAAGCCUGCCUGAGAAUGAUGCCAACAGAGAGAAAAGCAGAGCUGAGAGAAGGAGAGAACAGAUGGAGUCCUGGUGGCACUUGUGGAUCCAGCCAUCCCUAUAGCCAGCUCUACCCCCGGACUUCUCAUUACUUGAAGCAAUAGAUGCCCCUUUUUCCUUCAACAAAUUUGGAUUGGAUUUCUGGUGCAAACUUCUGAUACUACUAUUCAAGAAUCUCUACAAAGAUGAGCCAUCCUGCCCACAUGCAAAUCUACAUGAAUUAAGAAUACAUAAGGUGGGCUUCCCUGGUGGCGCACUGGUUGAGAGUCCACUUGCCGAUGCAGGGGACAUGGGUUCGUGCCCC